Molecule: ribosomal RNA, 253 nt
Filed under: uncultured bacterium
Lineage: Bacteria
Description: partial 16S ribosomal RNA
Rfam family: Bacterial small subunit ribosomal RNA
Source: RNAcentral
UACAGAGGUCUCAAGCGUUGUUCGGAUUCAUUGGGCGUAAAGGGUGCGUAGGCGGCGCGGUAAGUCGGGUGUGAAAUCUCGGGGCUUAACUCCGAAACUGCAUUCGAUACUGCCGUGCUCGAGUACUGGAGAGGAGACUGGAAUUUACGGUGUAGCAGUGAAAUGCGUAGAUAUCGUAAGGAAGACCGGUGGCGAAGGCUAGUCUCUGGACAGUUACUGACACUGAGGCACGAAGGCCAGGGGAGCAAACGGG